GGCUUGUAGUCAUAUGCUUGUCUCAAAGAUUAAGCCAUGCAUGUCUAAGUAUAAGCAACUAUACGGUGAAACUGCGAAUGGCUCAUUAAAUCAGUUAUCGUUUAUUUGAUAGUACCUUACUACUUGGAUAACCGUGGUAAUUCUAGAGCUAAUACAUGCUAAAAACCCCAACUUCGGAAGGGGUGUAUUUAUUAGAUAAAAAACCAACGCCCUUCGGGGCUCCUCGGUGAUUCAUAAUAACUAAACGAAUCGCAUGGCCUUGCGCCGGCGAUGGUUCAUUCAAAUUUCUGCCCUAUCAACUUUCGAUGGUAGGAUAGUGGCCUACCAUGGUAUCAACGGGUAACGGGGAAUUAGGGUCCUAUUCCGGAGAGGGAGCCUGAGAAACGGCUACCACAUCCAAGGAAGGCAGCAGGCGCGCAAAUUACCCAAUCCCGACACGGGGAGGUAGUGACAAUAAAUACUGAUACAGGGCUCUUUUGGGUCUUGUAAUUGGAAUGAGUACNAUUUAAAUCCCUUAACGAGGAACAAUUGGAGGCAAGU
This 540-nucleotide ribosomal RNA is filed under the name uncultured Dothioraceae. Its description in RNAcentral is "SSU rRNA". It matches the Rfam family "Eukaryotic small subunit ribosomal RNA", at positions 21 to 560 of the family's 1831-position model. Lineage: Eukaryota; Fungi; Ascomycota; Dothideomycetes; Dothideales; Dothioraceae. The record is from RNAcentral.